UACGUAGGGUGCAAGCGUUGUCCGGAAUUAUUGGGCGUAAAGAGCUCGUAGGCGGUUUGUUGCGUCGGCUGUGAAAUCCCGAGGCUCAACCUCGGGUCUGCAGUCGAUACGAGCAAACUAGAGUGUUGCAGGGGAGACUGGAAUUCCUGGUGUAGCGGUGAAAUGCGCAGAUAUCUGGAGGAACACCGGUGGCGAAGGCGGCAUCCUGGACCGAUAUUGACGCUGAGGAGCGAAAGCCAGGGGAGCAAACGGG
RNAcentral lists this ribosomal RNA (253 nucleotides) under uncultured bacterium. Its description in RNAcentral is "partial 16S ribosomal RNA". It matches the Rfam family "Bacterial small subunit ribosomal RNA", at positions 524 to 776 of the family's 1533-position model. The record is from RNAcentral.